AAAAACAAAUUAAGGAUGUGAAAGAAGUAUUGGUUGAUGUUACUGAGAAUCAAACCCAUGUCCAUGAAUCAAAUAUGCAACUUGAAGCUUCAAGACCUAGAACAGUGGAAGACGGAUUAAGAGAGCUGCAAUUUAAGUACAAUGAAUUGCAAGCUUGUUGUGAUGAGUUGCAAAUGAAAUAUGAUUCAUUGCGCCUCAUUUU
RNAcentral lists this long non-coding RNA (202 nucleotides) under Citrus sinensis (sweet orange). RNAcentral describes it as "long non-coding RNA (CSIN_LNC001245)". The record is from RNAcentral. Lineage: Eukaryota; Viridiplantae; Streptophyta; Magnoliopsida; Sapindales; Rutaceae.